CUCUGAGACAGAGGGGGUGGCCAGCAUGGUCCGUAAAGGGCUGGAGAAUGACCAUGUGGCCUCCAGCGACUCUGCAACUCUAUUUUAGCAGCUGUUGGUAACACGGAGGGAGGCAAGUGCAGAGAAGCCAAGUCCUUGGCCCAAAUCAAACGGCUUAUACGUACACUAUAGAGUUGAGACUCAAGUCCGGAUAUUCUGAUGUUCAAGUCAUGCUUCUAACUACAGCUCUAACCCGAUUCCCUUUUGCUUAUCAAAACUUCUCAAUCAAUCCUGCCUCCUGGGAGUCAAGGCAGACAUUCUCUGGCUCAUCUCUCCAAGGAACAGAUUUUUUCAAAACAUUAGUCAUUUACACGUUAGUCUAAAUGAGAACCUACUUUCUGAAUUCCUUUCCUGACUGGUCUCAAGAGGAGGUCCUUGUGCUGCUGCUUCAGUGCUCCCAGAGCUAUUUGCAACUCCCCAACUUAGUACUUGCCACAGGGCGUUGUACCCACCCUUCUCUGCCCCCAUGGAGAUGAACUUGUGGAUCAGAUCAUCGAGGGUGAUAUUUAUUGCUUUCAGCAUCCCCACAGGACAACCCGGCAGACACUCGGCGAGAAGUGAUGGACAAACUGAACUAAUGAAAUGAGUUAAUAAAACCCGUCCCAGUGAACGUCACACACAAGAAUAAACCUGGGCCGCUUCCCUGUUAGUGGAACGGCAGUGCUAGGGUACUUGUAUGUCCCCCCCAGCUUCCUGCCAGUCCCUCCUCCCGGAAGUCCUCAGGGACACCCUCUUCCCAACCUGUGUGCCCGUCUCUGUCUCCAGAUGCCCCUGGGGCUACAUGGAUGCAGGAGAGGUCGGGACCCCAAAGCCCACCCCUUUACAGCCCCUUCCUCUGGCUCCUGGUCCAAGGCUGUGUGAGAAACGGGAACAGCAGGAGCUUCAGCCAGGCAUGGUAGUGCACGCCUGUUACCCGGGAGGCUGAGGCAGGAGGAUCGCUGUGAGUUCGAGGCCAGCCUGAAUUACAUAGUGAGAGUCCAGGGUGGGUGGGGGCAAGGGCCUUGUAUGUUUUAGGGUUGGUCAUGGACAAACCCAGCCCUGACCCCACCUACCUGGCAGGCCUGACACACAGCUUCCGUUUCUCCAUCCGGCCAAUGGGGGUUACUGUCAUCCCCUCUUCGUGGGACCAAGGCGCUGACCCCGCACAGUGUCAGAGGCACAACGAGCUCCUCACUGCUUGCUGUACUCUCCCAGCCCUGAUGCCUUUGCACCAUGAAUGUCCAUCUACAAAUACGGAGGAGGAGAGAGUGAAACUCGGCCUCCAAGCCCCUGCCAGGAGGCCGGCCGUGUGCCCAGGCUGCAGUUGGCAGGCCAUGGUGAUGUUGAGCCCACCGG
Molecule: long non-coding RNA, 1374 nt
Filed under: Heterocephalus glaber (naked mole-rat)
Lineage: Eukaryota; Metazoa; Chordata; Mammalia; Rodentia; Bathyergidae
Description: lncRNA (ENSHGLG00000038202.1)
Source: RNAcentral